CUUUAGGACAAAUAAUUUGAAGCAUUAAUAUUUCUUGUUCAAUACCACUGCUGAUAGCACCUCCGUAUGUUGUGACCAGGAUGCAGCAGCAGACUGAACCUCGACUGAAACCUGCUCCAUCAUCUCAUCUUUGCAGAUGUCCAUUUAUAAAGCAUCAACAACUCAAAGGAGCCGUCCUCAGAUUCAGACCUCAGCACCACCCAGUGACAGCAGACAGAUCAUCCUAUAUCUUCAAUCUUUGUAGUAACUCCAAAAUUAACUGAAGAAAACAGUACAAAGGUUAAAGUACCACAUGUGCUGUCAGUGAAAGCUGCAGCUGUUUUAUUGAUAAAUUUAAAGACAAAAAGUCAAAAGGAUUAAUCACCCCUGUAACUGUGUCACUAUACAUCAGCAUUAACAGGACCUCAGUUUGGUGUUUCAGAAAACUGCUGAUCUCAGACCUGCACAGCUUCUGUUUUAAACACUGAAUGUACUCAGCUACAUGAAGAGCAUGUGAUGUUUUCUCUGACACAAUUAAAUAAAACCUGAUUAAAGUCAAAGGUUGUUACUUGUAUUUGAACUAAAAA
Molecule: long non-coding RNA, 566 nt
Organism: Oreochromis aureus
Lineage: Eukaryota; Metazoa; Chordata; Actinopteri; Cichliformes; Cichlidae
Exons: 2
Source: RefSeq, a predicted model, not a curated record